This 203-nucleotide long non-coding RNA is filed under the name Gossypium barbadense (sea-island cotton). RNAcentral's name for it is "long non-coding RNA (GBAR_LNC022890)". Lineage: Eukaryota; Viridiplantae; Streptophyta; Magnoliopsida; Malvales; Malvaceae. The record is from RNAcentral.
CGGGUUGAAUUUGGUGCCCAAAAUUUCCAGAUCAAAAAUUCAAUAUUUAAGGACAUUCCAGAUUUAAUUUCGUGAUUUUUAGAGAUCAGGAACACCUCGAACGAAGUUGUCAAGUUACUCUGCAGUUUUUCGGGUUUUCUGUUUUCAGCAAUUUUUAUUGAUUCUUAACUGUAGGUUUUCAUCUGUUUGCUUUUAUUCUUCCG